GUCACUGCUAUCAGUGUUCGACUAAGCCAUGCAAGUCAAAUGUUCUUCGUGAACAUGGCGGACUGCUCAGUAACACGUGGAUAACCUGCCCUUAGGAUUGGCAUAACACCGGGAAACUGGUGAUAAUACCGAAUAGACCAUUUAUGCUGGAAUGCUUUUUGGUUCAAAGGCUUCGGCUGCCUAAGGAUGGAUCUGCGGCCUAUCAGGUAGUAGUGGGUGUAAUGUACCUACUAGCCUACGACGGGUACGGGUUGUGAGAGUAAGAGCCCGGAGAUGGAUUCUGAGACAUGAAUCCAGGCCCUACGGGGCGCAGCAGGCGCGAAAACUUUACAAUGCGGGAAACCGCGAUAAGGGGACACUGAGUGCCAGCAUAUUAUGUUGGCUGUCCACAUGUAUAAAAACCAUGUGUUAGCAAGGGCCGGGCAAGGCCGGUGCCAGCCGCCGCGGUAACACCGGCGGCCCGAGUGGUGAUCACUUUUAUUGGGUCUAAAGGGUCCGUAGCCGGUUUGAUCAGUCCUCUGGGAAAUCUGACUGCUUAACUGUUAGGCUUCCAGGGGAUACUGUCAGACUUGGGACCGGGAGAGGUAAGAGGUACUACAGGGGUAGGAGUGAAAUCUUGUAAUCCCUGUGGGACCACCAGUGGCGAAGGCGUCUUACCAGAACGGGUCCGACGGUGAAGGACGAAAGCUGGGGGCACGAACCGGAUUAGAUACCCGGGUAGUCCCAGCCGUAAACGGUGCUCGCUAGGUGUCAGGGACGGUGCGACCGUUUCUGGUGCCGCAGGGAAGCCGUGAA
Molecule: ribosomal RNA, 795 nt
Filed under: uncultured archaeon
Lineage: Archaea
Description: bacterial SSU rRNA
Rfam family: Archaeal small subunit ribosomal RNA
Source: RNAcentral